RNAcentral lists this ribosomal RNA (253 nucleotides) under uncultured bacterium. Its description in RNAcentral is "partial 16S ribosomal RNA". It matches the Rfam family "Bacterial small subunit ribosomal RNA", at positions 524 to 776 of the family's 1533-position model. The record is from RNAcentral.
UACGUAGGGGGCAAGCGUUGUCCGGAAUCAUUGGGCGUAAAGAGCUUGUAGGCGGUUUGUCGCGUCUGCUGUGAAAUCUCAAGGCUCAACCUUGAGCUUGCAGUGGGUACGGGCAGACUAGAGUGUGGUAGGGGAGACUGGAAUUCCUGGUGUAGCGGUGAAAUGCGCAGAUAUCAGGAGGAACACCGAUGGCGAAGGCAGGUCUCUGGGCCACUACUGACGCUGAGAAGCGAAAGCAUGGGGAGCGAACAGG